This 505-nucleotide long non-coding RNA is filed under the name Mytilus galloprovincialis (Mediterranean mussel). Lineage: Eukaryota; Metazoa; Mollusca; Bivalvia; Mytilida; Mytilidae. The record is from RNAcentral.
GUUGUUAGUUUGUUGUUGUCUCAACUCCUUUUGACAUUCAUCUUUGUUUCACGACCUAGUUCUGGGUAGCUUUAAAUAUUUUUUGUUUUAUUUCGGUUUUUUUUUUUUAUUAAACAAGCAUUUGCUAACAAUGGUCAGAAUAUAUAUGGGAGCCUCAGAAAACCAUUACAUUUUCUACAUAAGAAAAUGACUGUACCAACGUCAGGAAUAUGAUAUUUGUUGUCCAUUUGUUUGAUGUGUUUAAGCUUUUGAUUUUGCCAUUUGAUUAGAGACUUCCCGUUUGAAUUUUCCUCGGAUUUCAGUAUUUUUGCGGGUGAUUUUACUAUUGACCAUAUUUUGUUUCACGACCUAGUUUCGUUUGAUGUGUUUGAGGUUUUGAUUUUGCCAUUUGAUUAGAGACUUUCCGUUUGAAUUUUCCUCGGAGUUCAGUAUUUUUGUGAUUUUACUACUGACAAUACUUAUCUUUGUUUCACGACCUAGUGAUAGGUAGCUUCAAAUGAUUUUU